This 500-nucleotide ribosomal RNA is filed under the name uncultured bacterium. RNAcentral's name for it is "partial 16S ribosomal RNA". It matches the Rfam family "Bacterial small subunit ribosomal RNA", at positions 30 to 523 of the family's 1533-position model. The record is from RNAcentral.
AUUGAACGCUGGCGGCAUGCCUUACACAUGCAAGUCGAACGGCAGCACGGGAGCAAUCCUGGUGGCGAGUGGCGAACGGGUGAGUAAAGUAUCGGAACGUGCCCAGUCGUAGGGGAUAACGUAGCGAAAGUUACGCUAAUACCGCAUACGAUCUAUGGAUGAAAGCGGGGGAUCGCAAGACCUCGCGCGAUUGGAGCGGCCGAUGGCAGAUUAGGUAGUUGGUAGGGUAAAGGCCUACCAAGCCGACGAUCUGUAGCUGGUCUGAGAGGAUGAUCAGCCACACUGGGACUGAGACACGGCCCAGACUCCUACGGGAGGCAGCAGUGGGGAAUUUUGGACAAUGGGCGCAAGCCUGAUCCAGCCAUUCCGCGUGCAGGAUGAAGGCCUUCGGGUUGUAAACUGCUUUUGUACAGAACGAAAAGGCUCUGGUUAAUACCCGGGGCUCAUGACGGUACUGUAAGAAUGAGCACCGGCUAACUACGUGCCAGCCGCCGCAGUAA